This is a long non-coding RNA of Ananas comosus (pineapple), 561 nucleotides long. RefSeq lists it as uncharacterized. The record is from RefSeq and is a predicted model, not a curated record. The transcript has 2 exons. Lineage: Eukaryota; Viridiplantae; Streptophyta; Magnoliopsida; Poales; Bromeliaceae.
GCCACCUGAGGCUUCAUACUUAUCCACUUAUUAUUCACCUUGAGGAAUUAGGAUAGAGAGAUAGAGUUUGAUAGAGAGAUGGAGUUUGAACUCGAGGAGAAACCAAGAGAAAGCUUGGUUUUGUUCUAGCAAGCGAGCGAGCAAGUCGGGGCGUACGUAUAUUUUUGGUGUUUCGACAUUGCGUUUAAUCAGACCUUCCGUCCGAUGGCAUAAUGUUAAUCGCUUUGAGCCAGUAGUCUCGUGCUGCGUUGAGGUCGAGAAUUUUGGUACACUCAAAAGCUCACAACUUCACCUCCAGUCUGCUCAAUGUCGAGAUGUCAUCAUAUAAACAGAGGCUGUCGGCUGAUGGAAUCGUGGUGGGCGUCCACCUCCAGACUGCUCAAUGUUGAGAUGGCAUUAAAACAGAGGUUGCUGGCUGAUGGACCAGUGUAAAAAUUAUCCAUACUUUGUUAGUUGUUACCCUAUUAAAGUACCUUCUUGUAGUUUAUUUGCACUAAAAACUAAUGUAUAUAUUUUUUUUUACAAAAAAAUUCUUCCAUGACCUAUUGGCAAGCAGUUAAA